Molecule: ribosomal RNA, 403 nt
Filed under: uncultured bacterium
Lineage: Bacteria
Description: bacterial SSU rRNA
Rfam family: Bacterial small subunit ribosomal RNA
Source: RNAcentral
UGGGGAAUUUUACACAAUGGGGGAAACCCUGAUGUAGCAACGCCGCGUGGAGGAUGACGGAUCUAGGUCUGUAAACUCCUUUUAUAAGGGAAGAAAUUUGACGGUACCUUAUGAAUAAGCACCGGCUAACUCCGUGCCAGCAGCCGCGGUAAUACGUAGGGUGCAAGCGUUAAUCGGAAUUACUGGGCGUAAAGCGUGCGCAGGCGGUUAUGUAAGACAGAGGUGAAAUCCCCGGGCUCAACCUGGGAACUGCCUUUGUGACUGCAUAGCUGGAGUACGGCAGAGGGAGAUGGAAUUCCGCGUGUGGCAGUGAAAUGCGUAGAUAUGCGGAGGAACACCGAUGGCGAAGGCAAUCCCCUGGGCCUGUACUGACGCUCAUGCACGAAAGCGUGGGGAGCAAACA